This 1119-nucleotide ribosomal RNA is filed under the name unidentified archaeon. RNAcentral's name for it is "bacterial SSU rRNA". It matches the Rfam family "Archaeal small subunit ribosomal RNA", at positions 326 to 1450 of the family's 1478-position model. The record is from RNAcentral.
CGGGGUGCAGCAGGCGCGAAACCUUUACAAUGCGGGCAACCGUGAUAAGGGAACCUCGAGUGCCUGUAAAUGCAGGCUGUUUAGGUGUCUAAAGUGCACCUGGAGAGAGGGUCGGGCAAGACCGGUGCCAGCCGCCGCGGUAAUACCGGCGACUCGAGUGGUGACCACUGUUAUUGGGCUUAGAGCGUUCGUAGCUGGGUUGUUAAGUCUCUUGGGAAAUCUGGCGGCUUAACCGUCAGGCGUCUAAGGGAUACUGGCAAUCUUGGAACCGGGAGAGGUGAGGGGUACUUCGGGGGUAGGAGUGAAAUCCUGUAAUCCUCGAGGGACCACCUGUGGCGAAGGCGCCUCACCAGAACGGCUUCGACAGUGAGGGACGAAAAGCUGGGGGAGCAAACCGGAUUAGAUACCCGGGUAGUCCCAGCUGUAAACUAUGCGCGUUAGGUGUAUCGGUGACCACGAGUUACCGAGGUGCCGAAGGGAAACCGUGAAACGUGCCGCCUGGGAAGUACGGUCGCAAGGCUGAAACUUAAAGGAAUUGGCGGGGGAGCACCACAACGGGUGGGGCCUGCGGUUUAAUUGGACUCAACGCCGGGAAGCUCACCGGAUAAGACAGCGGAAUGAUUGCCGGGCUGAAGACUCUGCAUGACUAGCUGAGAGGAGGUGCAUGGCCGUCGUCAGUUCGUACUGUGAAGCAUCCUGUUAAGUCAGGCAACGAGCAAGACCCACGCCAACUGUUGCCAGCAUAGUCUUAGGACUGAUGGGGAACACUGUUGGGACCGCCUCUGCUAAAGAGGAGGAAGGAAUGGGCAACGGUAGGUCAGCAUGCCCCGAAUUAUCCGGGCUACACGCGGGCUACAAUGGGCAGGACAAUGGGUAUCAACACCGAGAGGUGAAGGCAAUCUCCUAAACCUGUCCUUAGUUCGGAUUGUGGCUGCAACUCGCCCACAUGAAGCUGGAAUCCGUAGUAAUCGCGUUUCAAAAUAGCGCGGUGAAUAUGUCCCUGCUCCUUGCACACACCGCCCGUCAAACCACCCGAGUGGGGUUUGGAUGAGGCUGCGGUUGUUGCCGCGGUCGAAUCUAGGUUCCGCAAGGGGGGUUAAGUCGUAACAAGGUAGCCGU